ACUUCAUACGCUACUCUGCUGAAGUUGUACGCUACCGGCGCUUAACACUCCGGUGACGAUGUACGAUCAAAACUAUUAUGAACUUCAUUCACUACCAGCGCUUAACUCUCCAGUGACGGCGAUAAUACCUACUGCCAAGAUUCGCUACUCUUAUCUUGGGAUGUGGUUAGCAUUAAGGAAAUUGCAUCAUUCUGCAGAGGCCAUCUGGUCGGAGCUUCCCCGGCAAUCAUCUCAUCAAUGUGAUCAAUUUUUCACCCCAGGUGAUGUAAGGCCAAGUGUGAAAAUGAAUCUUGUUAACAGCUAAAAUAGCAAAUUACAAGGUCAAGGGGAGUGCACAAGUACAUGUGAUGGGGAGUCAAAAGAAGGUAAACCAUUCCUGCCCCUGUUCCUGACCUGAAUAAGAGCUGAGUCUUUUCAGUUAUUUAUUUUCAUUUCUUUCCCCUACUUUUCAAGAUAAUCUAGAAUGCAUUCGUAUUAAUCAUGAUAGUAUUAGAGAUUACAAUGCCUCUUUUUGUCUUGGUAAAAUGGAGGAGCUGAAAGACUUCUUCUGCUUUUUCUUCUUCCUUAUAAAAAUCAUCUGUUUUACCUUCAUUACAAGCAUCAAUACAUUUACGCGAGUCCCCAUCCACCCUAGAGGAAAGCAUAGCUCUUGGUUGCAAAUAAUUCUUAAGAUUCUCUUCACCAUGAGAAUGCAUGUGUCAAAUCAUCUCAAUCAUAAUAGAAUUCAGAAGGACCUGAAUUAUAAACAUCCCAGGGACCAAAUCCCCCCUAUACUGGCCAUAUCCUCUUUAGAGCUAGAAAGAGCAUAAAAAUUGAGAUCAAACUUUGUUGAAUUUGGGAACAAGCAGUCCACUUUUUCCAAAUUAAUUAUGGCAGGGAUCAAGAGAAUAUGUUCCAUGUUUCCAAAAUUAUACGUAACAACAACUUCAUUGAAGAUUAACAUCUUGAAACCUUGUCCCAGCAAAGGAUCUGGUGGCAGAGGAGAGGUUCUGGACUAAAAUAACAAAAAUUUCAGUCUGUUCGCCGUAAUCCAUGAUAUGUUUGUCUUUAUCCAGAAUGUCCUUGGUUAAUGAAGAUUUUUCUGAAUCUCCUGAAGAAUCUUGACCUCUGCAAUGUCUUGCUCUGAGUUUUUCACCUGGAGAAGUUCUCAAAAUAACCUUUGAUUUAAGACCCGGUUAACAUCAUCGGCUACUUCAAAUUUAACACUAUAUUCAUCUUCAAGGCUAUUUUGUUUUUUUCUGUAGUACUUUUUAAAACUUAAUACGUACAUCACUAUUAAUAGAUGAUCCAUCAUGAGGAUGGUGGAGGUUUUGUCUUCCGUGGAAUUUCAAUAAAACUUGUUUUCCGUGGAGCCUGAUUAAACGGUUGGUUAGCACGGAACCUCAGGUGGUGGGUCUAUGAGAUUUUGGAAUGAAAUUUCCAUAUCAUGGUGUUUCUUCUCAGCUCAUAAGGUUAACUGAUGCAUGCAGCCACAACAGAUUUCAAUGCUUUUGGUGAAAUUAGACAUGACCUUCCACUUUUCUUAUUUUUAUUGCUCUCUGGUUUAACUCAAAAUGGCAAUCAAACAUGUUCUCUGUUGAGUUGUAAACCUGUUGCUUGUUUGGCACUUCAAGUGGGUCUGUAAGAAUUUGGAGAAAGUUCCAUUUCAUGGUGUUCCUUCUCUGUCUCAUAAGGCUAACUGAUGCUUGCAGCCAUGACAGGUUCCUAUGCUUUUGAGUUGAUUCAUGUUUUGAAAAGUUUAGUUUCUUUCCCACCCCUCAUCGAACUCCCUUUUUUCGUGAUAUUACAAAGGUAAUCCCUGUUUUUUUAUUCUUAUUACUCACUCUCUCUGUUUUAUACACAAUGAGAUUUGGAGGUUUUCAUUUAUUGAUGUUCAAUCAAACAUGUUGCCUCUUUCCUGCCAAGCUAAAGAACUGUUGCUUGGCACGGGACUUCAUUUGGGUUUAUGAGAUUUUGGGAGAAGUUUCAUUUUUUGGUCUUUCUUCUCUGUUUCAUAGGCAAACUGAUGCUUGCAGCCAUGUUGGGUUUCCAAGCUUUUCAGCUGAUCGUGUUUUGGCAUUGCAAAGUUCAAUUUCUUUUUGUCACUAAAUCAUUGUUUUGGUGAAACUAUACGACUUCCUACUUUUCUUGUUCUUAUUACUCUCUCUGGUAUAACUCAAAAAGCAAUUUAACAUGUUCUGUCUUGAGCUGAAUUUUUUGCUUGGCAUGGCACCUCAGGUGGGAAUAUGAGAUUUAAGAGAAAGUUUCAUUUCAUGAUGCAUCUUAUCUGUCUCAUAAGGCUAACUGAUGCUUGCAGCGAUGACAGAUUUCUAAGCUUGUGAGCUGAUUCGUGUCUUGGCUUUAAGUUCGGUUUCCUUUCCCCCUUCAGCAAACCAUCCUUUUCGUGAAAUUACACAUGACCUUCCUCUUUUCUUAUUCUUAUUACUCUCUCUGCUCCUUUUUAAAAAACCAUGACGAUGUGUAGGUUUUCUCUUCCUUGGAAGUUCAAUAAAAAUUUGUAUGAUUUCACAGGGGUUGUUGAGAAGUUGGUUUCAAACAGCUUUGAUGCAGGAAUUGUUACCAUGGGAGGCCAAAUGGAUAUUGUAAGGUUAGGAGGACAACAAGUGUUUUGUACGUUGAAUUGACGAUUGGUACAAAAGUAAUUGUUCAUGAUGUAUUUUACGACUGACCAGUUCGAAGGAAGCAAAUGCACUCCGAACACUUCUAGUUUCCUCACAAUCAAACAAGUAGAAAUGAGGAUGACCUGGUUUGCACACGUGCUUCUCCUUGUCCUUGCCGCUGUUGUCCAGUGGGUUUGGGAUUCAUCUGGAUUCCCUUAAAAAUUGAAUCCAAGCGCUGGUUCAUUCAAGUUUUCAGGAUGCCUCUCAGGUCCUGAUGUUUACACAAUGAGGGUAUACAUGCCCAAAUUGAUGGAUAAAGAGAUGUGAUAAGUCAUCUUCUCUACACGUUGUUUCCCUAACAACCACGGAUUAAUUUGCAGGUCCUUCAGUAUUUCAUUAUCCACUUAUUUUAGUAUGUUGUCAGGAAACAGAAACCUAAUCUUUGGUUAAUAUUCACUAUACUGGAUGCUUGUUUUUGUACGAUGUCUUUGUUUUCCUUGACCUCCGUAAUGCAAAUAUCAAUUCAAGAUUUGUUUCCAAAGGACCAAUAAAUAAAUUACUUAACAACAUAGCUAUGAGUUUUGACAGUGCAUCUGACAUCGAGAAGCAAAAUAGAUCUCAGAUAUAUCCACUGUUUUUGGAAGCCUUCAAAGACAUUUGUGGAAUUUAAGGAUAUGUUAAGGAUGUUCAAACGGUUAUCAACAACCUCGAAGGCCCCACUCUCACAGCUCAAAAAAAAGUUUAAAUUAUUAAGAAGAAAGUUCUGCUCAAUUUAUUAUUUUACUUCAUCUUCUGAGGCUGUACUUUAUUUCUCACGGAAUGGACUGGUGUUGAUGGGAGAAAGAUAUGCGUGUGUUGAAGAUGUUUAAGAAUUUGUUUUUACCUUUUGAGUGAGAUGGGGAGCAUUAAGUGAAUGCCUAAGGCUUUGGAGCUCAAUUCUGUCACAGGGGUUAUCUUGUAUUAUUUCACAAGGGUUGUUGAGGAGUUGAUUUUCAGCAGCCCAGAUGCUGGUGCCACCAAGGGCAUAUGCUAAUAUCGAUUUAAAGAGAAAUAUAUGCCUCAACAUACUUAAGAGAAGGUUGAAACCUGUUCUCAAUAUCAACACAAUUAGCCAUGGAUUGUAUCUUCGUUUCACGGAACCAAACCAUGAGGAUCCCCUUAAUCUCGAGGCUGCUGCUGUUGAGAGAUAAUCCCGAGUUUAAAUAAAAUGUGAAAAGGGCUAUGCAUUGUGGAACUGUAGUCAAUAUAAGCUUCACGCAAUGCAUGUAACCUAUCCUCUGGUGCUGGUAAUAGUGUUCCUGAUCAGAUGCUGUAUCAUUUUGAGGUUUGCUGGGUUGUAUAUGGUGUCUGCAAACUUGCAGUGCCAUCUUAUCUGAGUGUGUGAUUUUAGCUUUAAGUUCUUUGACGUGUAUCCAUUGAUGUAUCUGUUAUGCUGGCUGAACAGCAUGUCAUGAACAGAAAGUAAACAAAUGGAAUGGUUAUAUAUAGAUGAAAGAGCAUUGCCUAAGAAGAAAACUCAACUAUCUAAAUUCCGUUUAA
Solanum pennellii is the source of this 4139-nucleotide long non-coding RNA. RefSeq lists it as uncharacterized. Lineage: Eukaryota; Viridiplantae; Streptophyta; Magnoliopsida; Solanales; Solanaceae. The record is from RefSeq and is a predicted model, not a curated record. The transcript has 12 exons.